AAUGAACCGGCGAGUUACGAUUUGAUGCAAGGUUAAGCAGUAAAUGUGGAGCCGUAGCGAAAGCGAGUCUGAAUAGGGCGUUUAGUAUUUGGUCGUAGACCCGAAACCAGGUGAUCUACCCUUGGUCAGGUUGAAGUUCAGGUAACACUGAAUGGAGGACCGAACCGACUUACGUUGAAAAGUGAGCGGAUGAACUGAGGGUAGCGGAGAAAUUCCAAUCGAACCUGGAGAUAGCUGGU
This 239-nucleotide ribosomal RNA is filed under the name Staphylococcus aureus. RNAcentral describes it as "partial 23S ribosomal RNA". It matches the Rfam family "Bacterial large subunit ribosomal RNA", at positions 614 to 853 of the family's 2925-position model. Lineage: Bacteria; Bacillati; Bacillota; Bacilli; Caryophanales; Staphylococcaceae. The record is from RNAcentral.